Molecule: non-coding RNA, 20 nt
Filed under: Arabidopsis thaliana (thale cress)
Lineage: Eukaryota; Viridiplantae; Streptophyta; Magnoliopsida; Brassicales; Brassicaceae
Source: RNAcentral
CAUUUGUCUCACCCGUCUCC